Molecule: ribosomal RNA, 453 nt
Filed under: uncultured bacterium
Lineage: Bacteria
Description: bacterial SSU rRNA
Rfam family: Bacterial small subunit ribosomal RNA
Source: RNAcentral
AUUGAACGCUGGCGGCAGGCUUAACACAUGCAAGUCGAGCGGAGUUUUGGUGCUUGCACCAAGACUUAGCGGCGGACGGGUGAGUAAUGCUUAGGAAUUUGCCUAUUAGUGGGGGACAACGUUUUGAAAGGAACGCUAAUACCGCAUACGUCCUACGGGAGAAAGCAGGGGAUUUUUGGACCCUGCGCUAAUAGAUGAGCCUAAGUUGGAUUAGCUAGUUGGUGGGGUAAAGGCCUACCAAGGCGACGAUUUGUAGCGGGUUUGAGAGGAUGAUUCGCCCCCCUGGGACUGAGACCCGGCCCCGACUCCUACGGGAGGCAGCAGUGGGGAAUAUUGGACAAUGGGCGAAAGCCUGAUCCAGCCCUGCCGCGUGUGUGAAGAAGGCCUUUUGGUUGUAAAGCACUUUAAGCGAGGAGGAGGAGCUUCAGGUUAAUACCCUGGAUGCUUGGACGU